UCUUGUACUACUGACUCCCAUGGUAAAUUCAACCGUAGCCUAUCGUCUACCACCGUGGGUGCCGUCGAACGCUGAUGAACGAAAACAACAAGCAGUUUUACGCAAUUUUUCAUUCGGAUCUCGCUUUAUUUAUUUAUAAAUUAUAUAAAUUAGCGUUUUGGACCAAUAAUAUAGAAAAACAAAACGAAGAUGGCUUCUGCUCGGCAUGCCCUUCCCUCGCCGCUUCCGUGUUACGUUUCUAAUGGAGAAUUGUAUCUGCGACAAUCGGAAUAUGAACGGCAGCAGCACUAUUAAAACAUUCAGCUUUUCUGGAGUUAGCUAGCAAACAUUCGUCAUAUUUUGGUAAUUAUGAUGCGAGUUAUGAUGGUCAUGGAUUUAAGCUGACUAUUGAAUUGACAAUUUCGGUAUUUUCGUCAGUAUGGAAGAAUCAAAUGUUUUCAUUCACACAGCAGAAUAUUGAUGGAAGCGGCAGGGCCCUGUAAAGAAUGAACUAACUGGAAACUCCGAGUGGUACCAUAAAGGUUUGAUACGUCUCUACUGCUAGCAAAAACUCGCCAGAAUGCUUGGUAAAUCAUUAAAUUCUGAUAGUGCUGCUGUCGUUCAUAUUCAAUUAUUGUCAAAAAUUUGAACACCUAUUUUGCAUUAAAUUAUGGUAAGCUGCAGAAAAUUUGUUGAAAAUAAAAUGGUUUAUUUUA
Long non-coding RNA from Armigeres subalbatus, 695 nucleotides. RefSeq lists it as uncharacterized. Lineage: Eukaryota; Metazoa; Arthropoda; Insecta; Diptera; Culicidae. The transcript is spliced from 2 exons. The record is from RefSeq and is a predicted model, not a curated record.